RNAcentral lists this long non-coding RNA (240 nucleotides) under Trifolium pratense (red clover). RNAcentral's name for it is "long non-coding RNA (TPRA_LNC006872)". The record is from RNAcentral. Lineage: Eukaryota; Viridiplantae; Streptophyta; Magnoliopsida; Fabales; Fabaceae.
GCGUUACCUGUAAACCUUACGAGUAGGGGACGUCAGAAACAGAAAAUAAAACAAGGUUGAGAGGCCUUGGCGUUACCUGUAAACCUUACGAGUAGGGGACGUCAGAAACAGAAAAUUAAACAAGGUUGCAAGGCCUUGGCGUUACCUGUAAGUCUUACGAGUUGGGUACGUCAGAAAAAGAAAAAUUAAACAAGGUUGCAAGGCCUUGGCGUUACCUGUAAGUCUUACGAGUUGGGUANN